Long non-coding RNA from Cuculus canorus (common cuckoo), 1748 nucleotides. RefSeq lists it as uncharacterized. NCBI's taxonomy places the organism in Eukaryota, Metazoa, Chordata, Aves, Cuculiformes, Cuculidae. The record is from RefSeq and is a predicted model, not a curated record. The transcript has 3 exons.
AAGCAGGCAACACAGACAAUGCAACUGAUCCUUGGACAAGCUCUUGCUUGGAGCUGUGAAAGUCAUUGAAGAAGUCUGGGAUGCAGCAUUGCUCCUUAGCUGGUCCAUAGCCAGCUGCUUGCACAGCACCAGCAAAAUGCAUUAAUUAAAACAACCCCAUACCUGUAUAUCCCUACAUCUGCACUAGUCUGGCUUCAGAAGCAGGGAGCUCAGUGCCGAUGCUGAAGCCCACUGAAGAUGUGCAGUAGGCACUCCAGCAGUGGAGCUCCUGUGGGUCCAGUUCAGCUCUGCAGCCCAUUUCUGUAGGGCUGUCCAUGGGAAACGAGCCUGCCCCUGGCUUCCACAACGCUCCCCUUGAGUGCAGGAGGUGCUCAGAACGCUGAGGACCUUCAGCAAACUGCAGGUUUCCUCCCCCUUCAGGCAAACGAAUGGAAAUGCAAGAGCUCGCUCUCCUUCCCAGCUUGCUCUCCUUCCAGUUGACUGCAUUCGCUCCCACCCUCCCCAGGGCUUGUAGUCUGCAUGGCCCAGAGGACAAGGGCCAGCGGGCUGCCGGGAGAGGUUUUGUCCUGCUCCACAAACGAUGUUCACCGGCACUGGACUGUAUCUCACAUACAUCUGUCUGGAAAUGCUAGACACGUUGCUCCCAUGGAUGUUGUUGGCUGUUGAAUCUACUGGGUCACGGCUUUGGGAUCCAAAUCUGCUCCUAAUAUUACAAUUUUCACUGGUUCUUGGGCAUUUUUGAAGGAUCUGCAACAGUAGCUUAUCAACUACUCUGUUGCUGGUAAACUUCGAUGUGUGAAUAAAUAAAUAAAUAAAUGCAUAAAUAAAUCGAGGUAUAAACCUCUAUACAGUUUGAUCCCCUAGGUCUUACCUACUAUAGAAACUUCUGCGUCAGAUGUAAUAUAGGUUAUCAGUUUAAGUGUAUUAGGCAACACUCCUGGCAUAGUAAAUGCAGCUGAUAACAGCAAAAAGUCACAAGCCUAUGCUGAUAUAGCUUUAGGAGUUGCAAUAAUCCGGCAGAAUUACAUUUUAAAGACACGAACUGCAUCUACCAAAUGACUGCCUGCCCACCCUUUUGAGACGAUGCAAGGCUUUAGAUUGCAAACCAUCAGGGGCGUGAACUGCAUCUUCACUGAGCCUCCAGCACAAUAGAGCCCUACCUGUGCGGCUGGAAGUGCCUUCAAGCUAAUGAGUCACACCACAACUUACGUUUCAUGUGAGCACUUAAUUAGAUCGAACUCUGCUAAUUUAUGAGAUAACAAGAUAAGGUUAGACCAGUUAAGUAUAUGUGGUGGGUUUUAUCUUUUACCACCGGUAGGCUUCCCUUGGUUUUUGUUUUUUUCUCUUUAAGUUUAACUCGCUGAAGUGUUUAACUUGCAAUUCCCCACAAGGUGUUAUCAGCACUCACCUGAAAGAAAAGGAACCUGGAGGAACCUGGAGCUUCUGCACGGAGCAGCCCUGGAAAGGAGACUGCAGAAUGAGGGACAUAAUGAGCACUUUGCAGGCCUUCAGAAGGUGACAAUAGCCAUUGUUUAAAGCCAGGUGAGGGGCUCAUUACCUUGUAAAUCGUGGGUGCACAUCUACACACACAUAUCUAGCUAGACCCAACUCCUUACAGAUACAAGUAGAGAACAUGUAAAGAUUGUACAAUUAUUAUUAAGCCUGCUCAGUCUAAAGUGAUCCUAACUGGUUUCAGUGGAAAUGACCUUCCAGGAAAAACUGUCCAUCCAUCCAUCCAUCCAUCCAUC